This is a long non-coding RNA of Oxyura jamaicensis (ruddy duck), 4325 nucleotides long. RefSeq lists it as uncharacterized. Lineage: Eukaryota; Metazoa; Chordata; Aves; Anseriformes; Anatidae. The record is from RefSeq and is a predicted model, not a curated record. The transcript has 2 exons.
CUGGGGGAGCGGGGCAGCGAGACGGGGGGGGGGUCGGCCCGGAGCCCCCCAGCUUCUCCCCGGGCCGCCCGAAGCCCGCCCCGGGCCGGGGGCGCCGCCCGCAGCCCCGCGCCCCUCUUUCCCCGGCUCGGCUGCUCGCUGCCGCACAAAGAGCGCCCUUCCCGCAGACAAAGCAUCCGCCCGAGGUGUCACCGGGGCUGGCCGGCCCUUCGCCCGGCUCUCCGGCUGCCGGUUUGGCCACCACAUAGCCCGGGAUAAAGCGCGGGGGGACUCGGACGCCGGCCCCGGUGCCGCUCCGCCAGGUUUGGGGGCACUGGGUCGGGCUGGAGGCGGCAGCAAGCGGCGUGGCCCGGCAGGUGCCUGGCUCUCGGCUCUCGGCUGCCGUCGCCUCCCAAAAACGCAGCCCCCGGCAGCCCGGCUCCCAGCAGCACAACGGAGUGAGCCUGGGCGCGAGCAGGACAGCGGUUUGUCCUGCCUUGGCUUUCGCUGCACCGAAAGCCGGUGCCUUGCUCCUGCCGGCGGACAGGGACACAAUUGGAGUGUGUAUCCCCUACCCUCAUCUCCCGUAGUUCUGUUAAUUCAGGGAUUCAGCAGCGUGUAGGCUCGCUAGGCAUUUUCCUCCAGCCCCUGCAGAAGACUCGGUGAGAUACGCUGUACUGUGAAAUACCGUUUGUGUUGCAGAGGCAGAGCAGCUGGAAAAAGGAGAUCCGAGGCCGUCACCAUUUUGCAGAAGUCCCCGGGUGCUCACCGUGUGCACUGGGACCAGCCCGGAUCGAUCACAGAGGAGCACAUACUCCCUGCAGCCCUGCUCCCCAGGGCUUUCCCUGCCACCAGACCCUACCUGCCCACACCACACACUAGGCUGGCAGUCAUGGAGCGACAGUGCUGUGAAACCCACCACCCACGUACAGGCUGCCGAGGGGCCAAAUUCCAUCAGGGCAGCCUCCAGGGAGGUCUCUAGAAAAGGCUUAUUUCCUUGGCUGGCUCCUGCAAAAGCACGGAGAGCUGCACUCCCUCUGAGAGCUGGCAGCGCAGGACACCAGGUACCGUGUGCCACAGGCAUGCCACUCAUUUUGCCUGACUCGAGUGCAGUAUCCAAGUUGAUUUGCAAAAGGUCCCUAAUCUGAAAAAAUAGAUAGAGGUAUCUGAUAUGUGCAGCUAAUCGAAGAGCUAUCUCCUCUAAACAGACUGGUUUAAACUAAUUACACGAUGCAGCGCAUGCUGCCACCUACGCCUUCUGAUUCAGGUUUCUGGUGUACUGCAGCUUUGGAUUCCUAGGCAUCCUUUGCUGAAGGCAGCUAGCAUUUUGUGAGGCUACACGAGGGACCGCAAACACAGGCGGCUGUGGCUGCACCAGGGAACCAGGCAAAACAUUUCUCACCGGCACAGGCACUUGUUGAGUUGUGGCGAGGAUGCCUCGAUGCUGACCAAGAACCGGCAGUCACACCAGUGAAAUGAAAGUAGUGGCUGGAGCCACAUCGUGCUGAGGAUCCUGCCAGCACAGCUGUACCACUGACAGCAGCGGAACAUUUUGCUCAAGUUCUCUAGAGGAAUCAAAGCCUGUAUUUUCUGUCUCUGGCUCUCUCUUGUUCUGUUGUUCCAUGCUCUGUAAGAGAGAAGUCAGCCACACAGAGCACAUGGUUGCUCUCUGUGUUUGAAAAAAAAAAUGUUUGGGGGAAGAAAACCACAGCCAAAGCUGUUUUGAAGUCAGAAGCAUGUAAACAGUACCUGGAACUAAGUGGAAUAAUAAUAAUAAUUAGUCCUUUUGUGCCAUAAAUAUGUGCAUCACUGCCUGCUGUUUCAUUAUGAGACAGCACGACUUCUGAAAAUGUGCCUGAUGAAUAUUUGGGGGAACACUGCCUUCAGCUGCAGCAGCGUACAGCAGCUCAAAUGCCUCUGGCUCCUCCAGCUCUUAUGUAACCAAAAUCACAAGUUAGAGCCCAAAUUACAAAGCAUAAGCAUGUGUAUAAUGUUAAGAAUAUAAGUGGUGCCUUAAAUUGCCAUCCUUUUACUGUAGGUCUGGCUUUAAUCUGUUACUAAUUUUAGUUCUGCAGUUCUGUUGAUUUCAAUGUGUGGUGGUGCCAUUAAUAGUGGAAUCAAGCCUAACCCCUUAAAAACCCACCAUGAGAGCAUUAACCCAAACUUAAGGAAGACAGGCCAAAAUCACUGCGGUUACAGGUAGGUGUAGUUCAUAUGACUCAUAUACCAGAUCCAAAAUGUAUCCAGUAUUAAGAUACUGUAGAAAGCCACAAUAUAAUGUACCCACGACUGCUUUGCACAUCAGCCAGAGCUGCAGGUUUUUGCACACCUGGCCAAGACCCAGGUUAGCAGUGGUCUUCCUUUGUGCUCUGCCUCUUUCUGGAGCCUAUACUCCCCAUUCACACGCUGAUCUGCUUUCUGGAGUUUUAAGGUGUUGGGUGCUGAUACCGUGAGCGCCUCUUGUAUCUGUUUAAUCCAAUAACAUAACUCGUCUUUAAUCUCCACGUCUGGGUCACAGGUUUUAAAAAAGACACUGGGCCAAAUCCCCAGCUUGGCUAUAACGUGUGGAAAUCUACCGAGAAGGCACGGAAGUCAGAAGAGAUUUGCUGUAUCUGCACCCUGCAAAGGAGGUCUCAAGGGGCAGUGAUGUGAGUGCCUAAUUUCACAGAUGGAUGUGUAUUAACACAAGUCUGUGGCAGAGGUGGAGCAGAUUUCUGUCAGGACAAAAAUAAACUUCUUCUCAGCCUGUGCCUGCUAAAGGGAACACAACUCGGGACUACAGCAAGGCAAGAACAAGGAGCAGGUUUUGCAGAGAUCAGGAAGAUUUUGCAUAUAAAUAUUAAAAUAAAAAAGCAAAAAUUAUUCCAGGCACAAAGUCCAGCAGAAAUCUAAGGGGCAAGUGCAGAGCACUAUCUGUAAAGAAGAGCAUAGGUGAAAACAGCAGAAAGAUGCUCUGAAUAAGCUGACCACAUUAACAAGUCCCCAAACACAGAUUUCCUAUAUAAAGCUAUACAGGGGCAGCCUUCGGGUUUCCCCUGUAUGGGAAAGGACCGUGAGCCCAAAAAAAAAGGAGGCAGAUUUUUUGAGGGAUUUAAACAUCAUGAAGUGACUCUGGAUUGCAGGUUUUAAGCAUUACUAAAACAGGGAACAGAACUGUUGCUAUUGCUAUUACGUACCAGGAUAUUUCACUAAUCCGUGCAAUCCACUAAAUUGCUGUAGUUUUAGUCUGUGUUUAUUUUAGAUGAAAUUAUGGCCUGGACAGUUAAUUUUUUGUUAGUUUAUCCAUUUAAAUCAUAUACAAAUAAAAUACCAAACAGAAAUCAAAACGUGACCUGUGAUUUUGGUAUAUUUCCCAUCACGUGAACCUGCCAGUGUCGGAGCCAAUCCUCCCAGUUUAUCAGUCAAACCCAAAGAUAGCUAAAAACCACAGGAAUUCUUGAAAAGUAGCCCCGUUGGCUUUAAAGUCUAUUAAAAAUGUGAUUUUAAUACUACUGCUGGUGGCCUAUUUUGUUUAUGUUACAAACUGCCUAGCCAUUAUGGGAUUGCUUCCGCUGAUCGUUUCCCUACAUCAAGCUAAUUACAUAUUAAUUUGAGGCAUUUUGCACAUCUCAAAGGCUAGAGUGGGCCCUUUCCGAGCAGCAGGCGAGUUUAGAAAUGCCUGUUCCUUUACAGGAGCUGAUUCCUGUAGCGAGGGACAGACCCAGAGGAACCAAGCAGCCUGGGACUGAAGCACUCACACGGGUUUGUGGAAGAAGUUGAGUGUCUCAGGUUAACUGACAGUCAGCUACCUGGAAAUAAAAAGCUCUCAUGUACCCAAAGGUUUACACUAGGGUUUUCAAGAGCUCCUGAGCAAUUUCAAAUCCCUUAAAGGAAUGAAAGAUAGAAUGAAAACUAUAGGUAUUAUUAAAGAAUGUCUCCGAACAGAAAGCCAGCCAGUUUCAUAAAAAUGAGCUAGGAAGCAAUAACAGAUACUCUGUCUCCUGCUGGAUGCUGCAUGAACCGUAUGUUUUGUAUUUUUUAAGUCAUGCCAAAAACGAUUUUUUUCUUUGCUGUUGUCAUUGGGGAAAGACAGUGAAAGAGCUAUGCAUAAAAUGAGGUUAAAGUAAUCUAAUUAAAACAAAUAAACAAUGUGCUUUCAUCUUUAAUUCAUAACCAGUCAUUUGGGAUCUAACUUUAAAAAAAAAUAGAUAAAAAUUCAGAAAGGAUUUUGGAGGAUGACUGUUUCCCUUUAAGAUUAAUGAUAAACAUACUUGUGUAUUCAAGGGAGAAUAGAUCCAGUGUUAUGUAACAGGAUAAAGAAACAAAAUCCUUUUUCCUUAAAUUAAAAUAACCAGUACGUGUGUGGA